GAUGAACGCUGGCGGCGUGCCUAAUACAUGCAAGUCGAGCGAACGGACGAGAAGCUUGCUUCUCUGAUGUUAGCGGCGGACGGGUGAGUAACACGUGGAUAACCUACCUAUCAGACUGGGAUAACUUCGGGAAACCGGAGCUAAUACCGGAUAAUAUUUUGAACCGCAUGGUUCUAAAGUGAAAGACGGUUUUGCUGUCACUUCUAGAUGGAUCCGCGCUGCAUUAGCUAGUUGGUAAGGUAACGGCUUACCAAGGAAACGAUGCAUAGCCGACCUGAGAGGGGGAUCGGCCACACGAGAACGUAGACACGGUCAAGACGCCUGAGGGAGGCAGCAGUAUGGAAUCUGCCGCAGUAGGCGAAAGCCUGACGGAGCAACGCCGCGUGAGUGAUGAAGGUCUUCGGAGCGUGAUGCUCUGUUAUUAGGUAAGAACAUAUGUGUAAGUAACUGUGCACAGCGUGACGGUACCUAAUCAGAAAGCCACGGCUAACUACGUG
Molecule: ribosomal RNA, 497 nt
Filed under: uncultured bacterium
Lineage: Bacteria
Description: partial 16S ribosomal RNA
Rfam family: Bacterial small subunit ribosomal RNA
Source: RNAcentral